This is an RNA transcript of Chinchilla lanigera (long-tailed chinchilla), 2382 nucleotides long. It is a transcript of the gene named SAP domain containing ribonucleoprotein, with no coding region annotated. The transcript is spliced from 12 exons. The record is from RefSeq and is a predicted model, not a curated record. NCBI's taxonomy places the organism in Eukaryota, Metazoa, Chordata, Mammalia, Rodentia, Chinchillidae.
CUAGGCGGGAGCGUCUGGGGGCGGAGGAAACGGGUGGGGGCCGGCGGAGUGGCGGGAUAGCAAGAUGGCGGCGGAGACGGUGGAGCUCCACAAACUGAAGCUUGCUGAGCUAAAGCAAGAAUGUCUUGCACGUGGUUUGGAGACCAAAGGAAUAAAACAAGAUCUCAUCAACAGGCUGCAGGCAUAUCUUGAAGAACAUGCCGAAGAGGAGGCAAAUGAAGAAGAUGUACUGGGAGAUGAAACAGAGGAAGAAGAACCAAAGCCUGUAGAACUGCCUGUCAAAGAGGAAGAACCCCCUGAAAAAACUGUUGAUGUGGCGGCAGAGAAAAAAGUGGUAAAAAUUACAUCUGAGAUGCCACAGACUGAGAGAAUGCAGAAGAGAGCCGAACGAUUCAAUGUACCUGUGAGCUUGGAAAGCAAGAAAGCUGCUCGGGCAGCCAGGUUUGGGAUUUCUUCAGUUCCAACAAAAGGUCUGUCAUCUGAUACCAAGCCUAUGGUUAACCUGGAUAAGCUAAAGGAAAGAGCACAAAGAUUUGGUUUGAAUGUCUCUUCAAUCUCUAGAAAGUCUGAAGACGAUGAAAAGCUGAAAAAGAGGAAGGAGCGAUUUGGAAUUGUCACAAGUUCAGCUGGGACUGGAACCACAGAGGAUGCAGAGGCAAAGAAAAGGAAAAGAGCAGAGCGCUUUGGGAUUGCAUGAUGAAAAGUUGUUGAUGCUUUCUCUUCUCCGGUGGUUUCCAUUUCUGAUUCUUCUUGGUCACAUAUAUCCUAAGUGCACAGUCACGUGCCUGUGUCCUGCCUCGAAAUGAGGGGGCAUGUACCCCAGGUUCAAGUGCUGGAUUGUGUCAUGUGACCAUCCCAAAACUCAGAGCACCCUCUGGCCAUCUUUGCCCUCUGUCACAUAACUUGAAAACUGCCUGAUGGCCUUUUUGCAGUGGUCCCUCCCAGGAAGCCGUGAUUUCAGUGAAGAAGUCCUUUCCAGCAUUCCAGUGCCCUGUCAGCCCCAUAUUCCUCAGACACCCUUAACAAACAAAGGCAAUCACGCACACGAUGUAACAAAUACACAAAGGAAAUAAUCACACUAAUAAUAUGUUCUCAGGGGCGCUCGCCAGGGUCACACGAAUAAGGUGGAGGAGGGGUGCUCCCUCCAGGUUGCUGGACUGUGUCCCCCAGCCCCUUCAUCCCAUGCUCUUUGGGGAUAGGGAUGAACGGGACCGAGACUUCAGCUCCUAGACUUACACUUGUAAGAGAAACUCCUCCUCCUCCCCUGCAAAGGUCUUUAUUUGGUGGUCUAAAGGGGCAGUAUGUUGUGUAGUGCCCCAGCUCUCGACUGUGGAGGGAAGUUACCUGAUGCCUACUGCCCAACCCUACCCUGUCCAAGAUCGAGAGAUACUUGAUCUUGGGGGAAGCAUUUUCUUCACUCUCCUGCCCCUCUCCUACCAAAGAAAUGUGAAUGCAUCGAUGGUGAGGUGUCUUACUCUCCGUUGAGGCAGAAGGGUGACGAGCAGGGCUGGAGAGGAGAGGCUUGGGUUAGCGUAGCUGCUGUCCGGGAGGUUAGUUGGAAAGCGUAACAGCUCCUCCUUAUUCCUCUGCUGAAACACCUUGUCUCAUUUUCUCAUUAUGAGAAUAGGUGUAAGACGCUCAAGCUCAGCAUUACCUUCCCAAGGUGACCACGUACCUUUGUCCCUUCCAUGGUCUGGUCCAAGCGGGAGAGAGACGCCCUUAGGAGGAACUAGCCUUCCGGGUUUGCUCUCCGGCAUGGGCUUUGCUUCAGUUCAGUACCGUUUCCACCAGACCAUCACUGUUGGAUUUACUUAAGAGUGGGAAUUUGCUGCAGGUUUUCAGCCCCGUCUCCUGACGUCCUCUAGGCUCUAGCCUGGAGCCAAGAGGUCCGUGGGUGAGGUAUGGAUAGGGUGUGGAGAUUCUCAACUCAGGCACUCUCCAGCUGGCAGGCAGCAGGGAACUUGGAUUCUCUGAAGCCUGUGACUCCUCUAAGCCUCAAUCUCUUCACCACUGCUCUGGUGCCCUGGUUAUGUGGUCCCACAGCGAGAGGUAUUUUAUGUCCAUAAAGUGCCCGUGGUAAGUGCUCAGAAUUCAUCUCUUGGCUGUGGCGGGUGCUGCUAUUUCUCUUUCCAUUGAGGGGAAGAAACUGAGGCCCAGCGAGUCCAGAGGAGGGUGCGCUGGGAUUGUGGGAGGAAUGAGUGGGCCCAGCUAAUGACUUGCAGUGGCAGUCAGUCUGCUGCUUCCUAGCUUCCAACCCAGGGAGUCUGUCCUUCCCGUCCUCCGCUGUAACCGGCCUUGCAGAUGCCUGUCCCCACUGUACUGUUCCCUCCCUGCUGCCAGAUACUGCUAUAUUCCAAAAAUAAAAAAUAAAAAUUAUAGACA